UACAGAGGUCUCGAGCGUUAGGCGGAAUCACUGGGCUUAAAGCGUGUGUAGGCGGAUCGGUAAGUACCUUGUGAAAUCCCACAGCUUAACUGUGGAACUGCUUGGUAUACUGCCAGUCUUGAGCCAGCUAGGGGCUACCGGAACAAAUGGUGGAGCGGUGAAAUGCGUUGAUAUCGUGAGGAACACCCGUGGCGAAAGCGGCUCACUGGGUCUUUUCUGACGCUGAUGCACGAAAGCUAGGGGAGCAAACGGG
Molecule: ribosomal RNA, 253 nt
Filed under: uncultured bacterium
Lineage: Bacteria
Description: partial 16S ribosomal RNA
Rfam family: Bacterial small subunit ribosomal RNA
Source: RNAcentral